RNAcentral lists this ribosomal RNA (707 nucleotides) under uncultured fungus. Its description in RNAcentral is "SSU rRNA". It matches the Rfam family "Eukaryotic small subunit ribosomal RNA", at positions 392 to 1100 of the family's 1831-position model. The record is from RNAcentral. Lineage: Eukaryota; Fungi.
GAGCCUGAGAAACGGCUACCACAUCCAAGGAUGGCAGCAGGCGCGCAAAUUACCCAAUCCCGACACGGGGAGGUAGUGACAAUAAAUAACAAUACGGGGUUCUUUAGGAUCUCGUAAUUGGAAUGAGUACAAUUUAAAUCUCUUAACGAGGAACAAUUGGAGGGCAAGUCUGGUGCCAGCAGCCGCGGUAAUUCCAGCUCCAAUAGCGUAUAUUAAAGUUGUUGCAGUUAAAAAGCUCGUAGUUGAAUUUCGGGGUUAGUAGGUUGGUCAUGCCUCUGGUAUGUACUGGUCUCACUGAUUCCUCCUUCCUUAUGAACCGUAAUGCCAUUAAUUUGGUGUUGCGGGGAAUUUGGACUGUUACUUUGAAAAAAUUAGAGUGUUUAAAGCAAGCUAACGCUUGAAUACAUUAGCAUGGAAUAAUGAAAUAGGACGUUCGAUCUUAUUUUGUUGGUUUCUAGGAUUGACGUAAUGAUUAAUAGGGAUAGUUGGGGGCAUUAGUAUUCAAUUGUCAGAGGUGAAAUUCUUGGAUUUAUUGAAGACUAACUACUGCGAAAGCAUUUGCCAAGGAUGUUUUCAUUAAUCAAGAACGAAAGUUAGGGGAUCGAAGACGAUCAGAUACCGUCGUAGUCUUAACCAUAAACUAUGCCGACUAGGGAUCGGAUGAUGUUAAUUUUUUAAUGACUCAUUCGGCGCCUUACGGGAAACCA